CUCCCAAAAAUGUGCUCGCAAAAUUUCAGAAAAUAAAAACCCAUGCUCGCAAAAUCCCAAUGAAAAUUCCCAUGCUCGCAAAAUCCCAGAAAAUACACUAGUUCAAAAGUUAAGCUAAAUUCAGCCAAACCCCCAAAUUCCAUAGAAGAAAACCCCAAAUUUUAAUACUAUUUGUUGAUAAUAACAAUUGUGAAAUCAGGAAAUUGUACCUUUCUCUAAUUGAUCUUUCUCUAAUUGAUUAUUGACUGAAGAAGAAAGCUCCAAACUGUAAUGUAAUCACUUGUAACAAAAAGUUGAAAACCUAAGAAGAUAAAUGUCAAAAUUAGAGAUUGAGCAGAAAUUAUUCUUAGAUCUAAUACUUAUAUCCAUAAUUGAUUGAAUAGAAACAUGAAGAAUUAAUAAAAAAAUCAAUUACCUUUUUGACGAUGAAAGUAGUCAGUGAUGUUGUUUUGUGAAGAGGAAAGAGAGAGAAGAAUAAGAGGAAGAAGAUUAUGAUGAAGAGAAGAGAGAUAUGGAGAGCGAUGAAGAGGAGAAGGAAGGAGAAGAAGAGAUCGAUGAACCUUCAACCCUUCUCCAUGAUUUCUUCUUUUUUCUUCUUUUUUUUCGUGAGUUCUUUUCUUCUUCUUUGUUCGUGUUUUUGGUUUCGCGAU
This 650-nucleotide long non-coding RNA is filed under the name Aquilegia coerulea. RNAcentral describes it as "long non-coding RNA (ACOE_LNC000192)". Lineage: Eukaryota; Viridiplantae; Streptophyta; Magnoliopsida; Ranunculales; Ranunculaceae. The record is from RNAcentral.